GACGAACGCUGGCGGCGUGCUUAACACAUGCAAGUCGAACGGAAAGGCCUGCUUUCCCUUGUGGAUUGCGGGUACUCGAGUGGCGAACGGGUGAGUAACACGUGAGUGAUCUGCCCCCAACUUUGGUAUAAGCCUGGGAAACUGGGUCUAAUUCCCGAUAGGACGGCAGGGUGGUGCCUGUGGUGGAAAACGAUUUUCUAGUGGGUGGUGUUGAGCUCGCGGCCUAUCAGCUUGUUGGUGGGGUAAUGGCCUACCAAGGCGGCGACGGGGAGCCGGCCUGAGGAGGUGGCCGGCCACAUUGGGACUGAGCUGCGGCCCAGACUCCUACGGGAGGCAGCAGUGGGGAAUAGUAGACAAGGGGCGGAAGCCUGAUGCAGCGACGCCGCGUGGGGGAUGACGGCCUUCGGGUUGUACACUCCUUUCGACCGCGAGGAAGCCACCUGGUUGGAAGGGUGGUGACGGUAGUGGUAGAAGAAGCACCGGCUAACUACGUG
This 494-nucleotide ribosomal RNA is filed under the name uncultured bacterium. RNAcentral describes it as "partial 16S ribosomal RNA". It matches the Rfam family "Bacterial small subunit ribosomal RNA", at positions 28 to 507 of the family's 1533-position model. The record is from RNAcentral.